AACGUCACCGUAUACGACUUCUUCUCGUAUGCUUUUGUGAAAGUUAAUGUAUCGGGUUCCACCGUAAUCUUAACUGCUGGACUUGUCGUCGAGAUUGAAACCUUGUACGUACUUCCUCCGGAGCCUCCCCCAACGUUGGUAAGCGUCCUCGUGUGCUUAACUACGCUCUUGCUCCCGCCGCCGCUGCUGGAACCACCGCCACCCCCAAUCACUUGAGUCUGCAGCGACACCGAAAAUGAAGGGUAGUUGAAAUCCCCGAUGCUGUAGGUUUUACCGGCACCACAGCUGUAAUUCCGCCUGGCGACGCCUUGAAUUUGCAUGGACGUGUAAUUUAAUGCGCAUAGGAAAUUGAGAUAAUCCUCGGUGGUCAGAUCAUAGACGAGUCCCGGGUUGAGGGCUGCGACGGGGUUCACAUGCCCUGCUCCAUGAUCGUACGGUGUCGAUGCCUUUCCGGUGGAGACAUCUAUCAGCUUCUUACCGCCGUUUUUGUAAGCGGUGUAGGCCGUGGUCAUGAGAGCCGAGCGGAUGGCGGCUGGGCUCCAGUCUGGGUGCGCCCCCUUGACAAACGCCGCCAAGCCGCUCACGUGUGGGCACGACAUUGAGGUGCCGGAGAUUAUGUUGAACUCCACGCGCCUCGGGUCCUCUGCCAAUCCGGUGGGGCCCACCGCCCCGGUCCACCCUGCUAUUAUAUUCACACCUGGAGCUAUCAGGUCCGGCUUCAAGAUAUCAGGGGUGAUUGCAUUUGGUCCCCUCGAGCUAAAUGCAGCUACCACCGGCGACGGUUCGAUCCCCACCUUUGUGCCCUCAAAAAGAAUCGUCGCCGUUGGAUUAGCAUCCGACAAUACAUAAUCUCUAAUCGCGUCUCCUGAUUUCUGACCCACUGUGCUGGCCGGGAGCAAAUGGGCAUCCGCCACCAGCUCCUCACCGUUGGCGGCGGUAUUGGCCAAAACCAUCCCGGCCCCACCAGCUCCUUUCACCACAGCGCCCUUUUGGACCCUAGGAUUGAUCCCACGGUCGCACAGGACAAUUUUACCCUUAACUUUCUCAGGGAUUAACGUGCCGGUCAUGCAGAGAUUCCCAUUGGUGGAAUUGCUAGCGUUCCCUGCAUAGACAAAAGGCAGCAGCUUAGCGGGCAACGAGUCACCUUUGUAAAGCGAAACUCCAGAGAAAUUCUGGCCGUUGCCCAGGCUGACAUACGCCGGGAAGUCUCGGUCCAAAGUUCCGGCACCUACGGUGGUAAUCCAGGGUGCCAAGUUGGACAGAGUAUAAGCACUGGGUCCCGCAUUUCCAGCUGAACAGGACACGAAAAUUCCCUUCUCCAUUGCUGAAAAUGCUCCAAUAGCAACACUGUCUCUGUAGUAGUCGGCGGUGCCGCCGCCCAGAGACAAAGACAAGAUAUUUACAUUGUCUGCGAUGGCCCCGUCUAUGGCGGCCAAUAUAUCCGAGCUAAAGCAGCCCCCAAUCCAGCAAACUUUGUAUACAGCAACUCUGGCACGAUGGGCCAUCCCACGAGCCGAACCGGAUGCAUACCCGAAAAGGCUAGCUCCGCCUACGAUUGCUCCAGCAGCCGUGGUGGACGUGUGGGUGCCGUGGCCGUCGUCGUCUCUAGGAGAUUUUGAUUCUUUCGUAACAUCAAUUGGGCCGAGAGUCGCCUCAUAGCCGGUUG
RNAcentral lists this long non-coding RNA (1666 nucleotides) under Coffea arabica (coffee). RNAcentral describes it as "long non-coding RNA (CARA_LNC005195)". The record is from RNAcentral. Lineage: Eukaryota; Viridiplantae; Streptophyta; Magnoliopsida; Gentianales; Rubiaceae.